GUGGGGAAUCUUGCGCAAUGGGCGAAAGCCUGACGCAGCCAUGCCGCGUGAAUGAUGAAGGUCUUAGGAUUGUAAAAUUCUUUCACCGGGGACGAUAAUGACGGUACCCGGAGAAGAAGCCCCGGCUAACUUCGUGCCAGCAGCCGCGGUAAUACGAAGGGGGCUAGCGUUGCUCGGAAUUACUGGGCGUAACGGGCGCGUAGGCGGACAGUUUAGUCAGAGGUGAAAGCCCAGGGCUCAACCUUGGAAUUGCCUUUGAUACUGGCUGUCUUGAGUACGGGAAGGGUGGGUGGAAAUCCGAGUGUAGAGGUGGAAAUCGUAGAUAUUCGGAAGAACACCAGGGGCGAAGGCGACUCACUGGCCCGUUACUGACGCUGAGGCGCGAAAGCGUGGGGAGCAAACAGGAUUAGAAACCCUAGUAGUCC
This 425-nucleotide ribosomal RNA is filed under the name uncultured bacterium. RNAcentral's name for it is "partial 16S ribosomal RNA". It matches the Rfam family "Bacterial small subunit ribosomal RNA", at positions 354 to 796 of the family's 1533-position model. The record is from RNAcentral.